ACGAGGGGAAGGAGCAGUUUAAAACUGGCAAUCGGGAGUUUAGGCAUCAACAGGCGGAAAAUGAAAUCACCCGGCUUGGAACGUGGCCAAGGAACGGGGAUUAAAGCCAGCAGGCCCACACAGAGCUCCCAGAGCUGCAGGCUCGUCUGUGACUGCAGACAGGAGCACAUGGAAAGCUGGGAUUCACUUUCCCUGCAGUGGUCAGGAGGAGCCAGGAGGGGUUGUCUGCUCUGUCUUAUAACAGAAAACACUGGAAUUUUCCUCCCGUGCCCCACACUGUGUCGUGUUUUCCUGGAAUUGGAAUGACUCGGAUGGACCUUUUCUCUGCACCUUCUGCACUGAGGAAAUAGCUGUUUUUUCCAUCCCUGUGGGGCUGCACUGGAGUCUGAGGGGAUUCAGCAGCACGUGGGCACCUCUGUGCAUUCCAGGUUUGCCUCUCCAGGGCCAGGGCAUCAACAGGAAUGAUGGGAAAGCUCCUGCUGCUCCUGCUCUCUUCCAGGGGCUUUGGGAGUCGUUGCUAAAGCAGGAGGCUGGUGGGAGGGAGGGAUGUGAAGGUGGUGUGGGGGUGUUGUGCUGGUUUGUUUAAUGGAGGGAGCAGUCUGGGGACACAGAGAUGCUCUCUGCAUUUUAAUUUGGAUGAGGCACAAACCAAUCUCUGGCUGUAACCAAAAAGAGCAGUAAAACCACUAGUUCUGCCUCCU
Molecule: long non-coding RNA, 701 nt
Organism: Corapipo altera (White-ruffed manakin)
Lineage: Eukaryota; Metazoa; Chordata; Aves; Passeriformes; Pipridae
Exons: 3
Source: RefSeq, a predicted model, not a curated record